RNAcentral lists this ribosomal RNA (254 nucleotides) under uncultured bacterium. Its description in RNAcentral is "partial 16S ribosomal RNA". It matches the Rfam family "Bacterial small subunit ribosomal RNA", at positions 524 to 776 of the family's 1533-position model. The record is from RNAcentral.
UACGAAGGGGGCUAGCGUUGCUCGGAAUCACUGGGCGUAAAGCGCACGUAGGCGGACUCUUAAGUCGGGGGUGAAAUCCUGGAGCUCAACUCCAGAACUGCCUUCGAUACUGGGAGUCUUCGAGUUCGGGAGAGGUGAGUGGAACUGCGAGUGUAGAGGUGAAAUUCGUAGAUAUUCGCAAGAACACCAGUGGCGAAGGCGACUUACUGGCAUCUUACUGACACUCAGACGCGAAAGCAUGGGUAGCGAACGGG